Molecule: long non-coding RNA, 2289 nt
Filed under: Gadus morhua (Atlantic cod)
Lineage: Eukaryota; Metazoa; Chordata; Actinopteri; Gadiformes; Gadidae
Description: lncRNA (ENSGMOG00000035662.1)
Source: RNAcentral
UGGAAACAUGAUGUAUUUAUUCAGCAUGUCUCUCCCCAAAACACUUAGUGGCUGAGAACUCGCCUUAAAAAAAUACACAAAAUGGUCAAAGAAAAUGUUGAAAUCUAAAAUAAGGUUCAGAUAUGUAUCCAGCUGUUCUAUCAACUUUCUAUAAAACAUUUAAAAAAAAAUCAAUAAUCGAAAUUUGAUUCAUCGCCCAGCCCUAGGGAGCAGUAGUGUGUGCGGUUGUCUGUGGUGUGUUGUGUUGUCAGUGCGCUACAGGGUUUGUGUUGUGUCCCACAGCGUAACAGCCGUUUCAGGCUCUUGGAGGCGGAAUGCAGAAAGGCCAUCGAUGUGGGGGUAGCCAGACGGCAGAAGGAGAUGGGGCUCGGAGAAAAGACUCCCAAAGUCACAACCAUCAAGCAGGCCCGUGAGGAGUUGCUGGAGCUGAGGAGCUCGGAGGGCAAGCUGGCGCGACUCAAUGUCGCGGCCUCACCGAGGAGGCAGCGAGGGGAACGCAUCAGGGCUCUGGCCCUCAGGACAGGGAGGUCAGAGGCGUCCGUCUCCAGAGAACUGCUGCUGCUGUCCAAUGGGAACGCGCAACCUGGACGGACAGGAAGUGAUCCGCCGUCGGCUCCCGAGGUCGUGGCUCGGAUGGAAGAGACGGACUCCGAUGAGGAGAACCUUCCCUCAGACACGCGCGACUACAUCGGCAGCAGCGUCCGUGGUGACGGCAAGGUCGACAUUGAGGCAUUGGCGGAUGACGUAUCAAAUACCGUGGAUGACAAGAAGUGUCUGGUCACGGCCUUCAAGUCUCUACGCUCUGAACUCAACUGUAUGACCGCAACCAAAACGGAACUCCUGGCCUCGGCCUGCAGCGUGAUCUGUGAUCUGAAGGACGAGGAGAAGCUCUGUGAGAAGGUUAUGGUGGCCCUGAGACACCAGCGAGCCCGCCUCAUCAACACCAUCUCUGUUAGAUCUGGGAGGUCAACCAGGAAGAUCCUGGAGAAGCUUCAGAGCAUCACAGCCAAGCAGCGGCAGCUGGAGGUGAGGCGACCCAGAUUCCUUCCAGCAGAGACCGCCACGCCGCUGGACCUCUCGUCCACCACCAGACCACGGAGCCAGCUCCCAGCUCCACCCUGUGCUGCACAGCUGGAUCCGCCGCCCCCCCCUCCUACAGCCAGGUCCCCCCACAGUGCUACCAGGCUGAAGACCGUGCCCAACAUCCUGACCCGAAGGAAGCCGCCCUCUCCGCCUUUGUCCCCCUCGCCGUCCCCUCCCGUCGGGUGGAGCGAGAGUAGAGAAGCUCCGGCCUUCCACACCUCCAUGAUGCCAGCCGGCCUUGUUUCCUUCCUGUGUCCGUUACCAGGGCAACAGGUCCUCACACUGAAGCACAUGGCGUAUGAACCGGGAGCCCCGCCUCCAAACCCAGGUGUGGCUUCAGUCAGCCUAGAUAUCGCUUACCCAGCCAAUGAAAACAUACCUCCCCCCUGCGUGUCCCGCCCCUCCAGCAGCAAUGGUCCUUUCACCACCCUCUUGUACCUGGUGCCCUCAAACACAGCCCUGCAACAACUACAGGGGCCGGCAGUCGAGGAACCUGGGUCCCUACCCCAGCCCCAGACCCUCCAGGCUGGGUCCCUACCCCACCCCCAGACCCUCUUCUCUGCUGGGUCUCAACCCCACCAGACCCUCUUCUCUGCUGGGGCACCACCACCACCCCACCAGACCUUCCCUGCUGGAUCGAUACCCCACCCCCAGACCCUCCCCUCUGGGGUGCCUGUGGCCAAACUUGAAGAGUGUGGGCCCAGGCCCCCGGGCCCCGUCCUGCCCGCGGCCGCCCCCCCCUCGGAGACCCGGCCCGCACUGCUGAUCCCGGACGGGGGUAAGGCCCUCUUCCCUCCCCUGAACCAGCUCUCCUUCCUCAAAGCAAACAUUGGCUCGCCGGCAGACCGGACCGCGCUCUCGUUUGUGCCCGGACACCCGUUCUCAUCCCUGGGCCGUGAGCCCCACAAAGACGGACCCCUCGGACCCUCCCUGUCCACUGAGGACCUGACGGAGGCCACGCAGGUCGACACUCACCUGGAGAAUGCAGCUGGCCCGGAGCCCAACGGUUGCCACGCACUACACUACCCACAAUGCAGUUCAACGAGUGGUACGCUGACACUGCCCCCGCUGCUGCAGAUGAAUGUGGGCGGAGCCAAAGUGAGCGAGUCCACCAAUAAGAGAGCAGUGGGUGCGUGGAAGCCUAUGCCCCGCCUCGCUGCUAUGGGGGUGAAGGGGGGGACCCCCCAUCUGACCUCUGCCCCCUGA